GCGAGUGAGCGGCAAAAGCUCAAAUUUGAAAUCUGGCGCCUUCGGUGUCCGAGUUGUAAUUUGAAGAUUGUAACCUUGGGGUUGGCUCUUGUCUAUGUUUCUUGGAACAGGACGUCACAGAGGGUGAGAAUCCCGUGCGAUGAGAUGCCCAAUUCUAUGUAAGGUGCUUUCGAAGAGUCGAGUUGUUUGGGAAUGCAGCUCUAAGUGGGUGGUAAAUUCCAUCUAAAGCUAAAUAUUGGCGAGAGACCGAUAGCGAACAAGUACAGUGAUGGAAAGAUGAAAAGAACUUUGAAAAGAGAGUGAAAAAGUACGUGAAAUUGUUGAAAGGGAAGGGUUUGAGAUCAGACUCGAUAUUUUGUGAGCCUUGCCUUCGUGGCGGGGUGACCCGCAGCUUAUCGGGCCAGCAUCGGUUUGGGCGGUAGGAUAAUGGCGUAGGAAUGUGACUUUACUUCGGUGAAGUGUUAUAGCCUGCGUUGAUGCUGCCUGCCUAGACCGAGGACUGCGAUUUUAUCAAGGAUGCUGGCAUAAUGAUCCCAAACCGCCCGUCUUG
Molecule: ribosomal RNA, 550 nt
Filed under: Meyerozyma guilliermondii
Lineage: Eukaryota; Fungi; Ascomycota; Pichiomycetes; Serinales; Debaryomycetaceae
Description: eukaryotic LSU rRNA
Rfam family: Eukaryotic large subunit ribosomal RNA
Source: RNAcentral